Molecule: transfer RNA, 96 nt
Filed under: Streptomyces angustmyceticus
Lineage: Bacteria; Bacillati; Actinomycetota; Actinomycetes; Kitasatosporales; Streptomycetaceae
Description: tRNA-Gly
Source: RNAcentral
GGCGUCCGCGGGCCGCGGGGGCUCGCCGGCGCCGCCGGUGGCGGCGGCGUAGGGGCCGGGCGACUGCGGUCCGUACGGGCUCGGUUCGGACGCCGC